Long non-coding RNA from Mauremys reevesii (Reeves's turtle), 1893 nucleotides. RefSeq lists it as uncharacterized. Lineage: Eukaryota; Metazoa; Chordata; Testudines; Geoemydidae. The transcript is spliced from 6 exons. The record is from RefSeq and is a predicted model, not a curated record.
UGCUGGAAGCAGGGGGCUGCCGCAUCCCCUGGUUUGAAGUGGGCUCCCUCAGAUGCAGGGUUUACAGUUUGGGUCAAUGGCUCUCAGCAGUGCACCCCCACUAUACAAAUUGUUCCAGCCCCCUUGCAUGAGAACCACGUGCCGAGAGAGCACACAGGCAAAAAUGUGCAAUUCUGGACAGCUCCUCCAAAAGGAAACAUUUCAAUUCCAUGCAGGUCACGCAAAGGUUAGCUAGACAAAUGUUACUCUUGCCAUUAAGCAAGGAGCCCCCUGCACCUUCCCUCCCCAAAACUCCACUCACCACCCACGGUCGGGGCUAGUUUAUCCCCUCUGACUGCAUAAAUCAUUCCCCCGACACCUUCACUUCCACCUUCACGCUUACUGCUUGGUUUUGUCUUUCGCUGAGAAGUCCGGUGUGAGGUCCGGGAAGUGGAACAGCUGCGAUGAGUGGGUUGAAAGCACAUUUCCCACCCCUCAUCCUCCUCCCAGUUCUGCUGCCUGUGGGUGGAUAUGGCUUUAAGACAGCGAUGAUGGAUGAGUGACGCUCACCCAGCCUUUGCCCUGUCUGGUAGGUGUUGCCUGGGCAGUAGAGACACUCGAUUUCAGAACUGUUUGUUCAAGGGCUUCCUGGGAAUCCCUUCCUUUGUCUCCCUUUUUGGCUGACUUGACUUUUAAACCUUCCUGCUGCAAAUGAAGGAGGCCGGGUGGGGUGUGAGACACUGGGGAAACGAGCCUCGGCUUAAUAGGCAAAGACAUUUCAGAGUUAUAAGCCACUCAGAUUGCCCAUGUUUAGCUGCAAUUAGCUGCCUCUUGCCUAUAUGUCAUACAGGCAUUUAUAUUUGUUUGUGUUGUUCUAAAGGUGGAAUUACUCACUCUGCUUGGAAACCGGACCAGCCUGGGGCUGCCGAACUUUGCCCCAGUGGUCCGGGCCUGGUAGCAGCCACUGGAGUAAUGCUAAUCUACAGCAGCUGAGAACGUGGACCUUUGGAAACAUCUGUCCAAGUGGGAACCUGCCUUUGCUUAAGAGACCCUCUUAAGAAAUUCUGCUCCUAGAUUAUUGGGAGCUCCCAGCAGAUCCAGAGGCAAUGGAGAGGUAACCCACCGGAGAAAGAAGGCUCCUGGAAUAUGCUGCAUUGGCUGCCAAACAUCAACAUGUGCAACCAUAAAACGCAGCCCCGGGAAGCGGAAUGCGAUAAUCUCGGACUUGAAAUUGUGAGCCAUGGGAGGUGAGAGAUGGAAGAGGGAGAGCUCUUCCUGGGGUGAAAAGAAGCACCACUCAUCAGUUCCAAGGCCAGCAGGGACCCCGUGAUCCUCCAGUCUAAUCUCCUGCGUAACGCAAGCCAGAGAACUUCCUCAGCAUAAUUCCCAUUUGAAUCAGUGCAGAUCUUUCCAAAAACUGUCCAAUCUCGAUUUAAAAACGGCUAGUGAUGGAGAAUCUGUCGCAGCCCUUGAUCCAUGACCAUCUAGAACAUCACAGCUGUCUCUAUACUGUACGGUGUAAGCAUCCUGACAGCAAGGUAGAUCGGAUCCAUAUCCUCCUGCUCGACGAAGCACAAGCCCCCUCUACACCUGAACAUAAAAGGCCUUUGCCACAAUCACCUCUCUACCGCGGUCAUCGUCUCACUAACCCGUCUGGCACUGAUCUCUCCUCUCCUUCACCACCCCAUCCGGCCUGCCACCACCUGCACCAUCGUCUUGGUUCGCCUUAAAUGAAGGAGUGAUUCCCAGGCAGGCAGAGAGAGCUAGCCAGCCUGGAUGCUGCUCUGCCACUCCCUUUCUCAGCAUUGCUUUGUCUCUACAGGAGUUAAUGAAACGCAGGUGCAGGCUAGAACAUGAAUUGCAACAGUGCACUUGUGUCUGUUUCCAGGCACCGGGUGUUCUAGUUAACCCAUG